CGUAGGAUGCGAGCGUUGUUCGGAUUUAUUGGGCGUAAAGCGUACGUAGGCGGCUUUUUAAGUCUGGUGUUAAAGCUAGGGGCUCAACCCCUGUGUUGCACUGGAAACUGGGAAGCUUGAGUGUGGUAGGGGAAGGUGGAAUUCCGAGUGUAGCGGUGAAAUGCGUAGAUAUUCGGAAGAACACCGGUGGCGAAAGCGACCUUCUGGGCCAUUACUGACGCUGAGGUACGAAAGCUUGGGGAGCGAACGGGAUUAGAUACCCUGGUAGUCCACGCCCUAAACUAUGGAUACUCGACAUUUGCGAUAAACUGCAAGUGUCUGAGCGAAAGCAUUAAGUAUCCCACCUGGGAAGUACGAUCGCAAGAUUG
RNAcentral lists this ribosomal RNA (368 nucleotides) under uncultured organism. RNAcentral's name for it is "bacterial SSU rRNA". It matches the Rfam family "Bacterial small subunit ribosomal RNA", at positions 526 to 896 of the family's 1533-position model. The record is from RNAcentral.